RNAcentral lists this ribosomal RNA (2104 nucleotides) under Klebsiella pneumoniae. Its description in RNAcentral is "partial 23S ribosomal RNA". It matches the Rfam family "Bacterial large subunit ribosomal RNA", at positions 104 to 2236 of the family's 2925-position model. Lineage: Bacteria; Pseudomonadati; Pseudomonadota; Gammaproteobacteria; Enterobacterales; Enterobacteriaceae. The record is from RNAcentral. RNAcentral also lists the same sequence under 2 other names.
CCGGCGAUGUCCGAAUGGGGAAACCCAGUGCAAUUCGUUGCACUAUCGUUAACUGAAUACAUAGGUUAACGAGGCGAACCGGGGGAACUGAAACAUCUAAGUACCCCGAGGAAAAGAAAUCAACCGAGAUUCCCCCAGUAGCGGCGAGCGAACGGGGAGCAGCCCAGAGUCUGAAUCAGCUUGUGUGUUAGUGGAACGGUCUGGAAAGUCCGACGGUACAGGGUGAUAGUCCCGUACACCAAAAUGCACAGGCUGUGAACUCGAAGAGUAGGGCGGGACACGUGGUAUCCUGUCUGAAUAUGGGGGGACCAUCCUCCAAGGCUAAAUACUCCUGACUGACCGAUAGUGAACCAGUACCGUGAGGGAAAGGCGAAAAGAACCCCGGCGAGGGGAGUGAAAAAGAACCUGAAACCGUGUACGUACAAGCAGUGGGAGCACCUUCGGGUGUGACUGCGUACCUUUUGUAUAAUGGGUCAGCGACUUAUAUUCUGUAGCAAGGUUAACCGUAUAGGGGAGCCGCAGGGAAACCGAGUCUUAACUGGGCGUUAAGUUGCAGGGUAUAGACCCGAAACCCGGUGAUCUAGCCAUGGGCAGGUUGAAGGUUGGGUAACACUAACUGGAGGACCGAACCGACUAAUGUUGAAAAAUUAGCGGAUGACUUGUGGCUGGGGGUGAAAGGCCAAUCAAACCGGGAGAUAGCUGGUUCUCCCCGAAAGCUAUUUAGGUAGCGCCUCGUGAAUUCAUCUUCGGGGGUAGAGCACUGUUUCGGCUAGGGGGUCAUCCCGACUUACCAACCCGAUGCAAACUACGAAUACCGAAGAAUGUUAUCACGGGAGACACACGGCGGGUGCUAACGUCCGUCGUGAAGAGGGAAACAACCCAGACCGCCAGCUAAGGUCCCAAAGUCAUGGUUAAGUGGGAAACGAUGUGGGAAGGCACAGACAGCCAGGAUGUUGGCUUAGAAGCAGCCAUCAUUUAAAGAAAGCGUAAUAGCUCACUGGUCGAGUCGGCCUGCGCGGAAGAUGUAACGGGGCUAAACCAUGCACCGAAGCUGCGGCAGCGACACUAUGUGUUGUUGGGUAGGGGAGCGUUCUGUAAGCCUGCGAAGGUGACCUGUGAGGGUUGCUGGAGGUAUCAGAAGUGCGAAUGCUGACAUAAGUAACGAUAAAGCGGGUGAAAAGCCCGCUCGCCGGAAGACCAAGGGUUCCUGUCCAACGUUAAUCGGGGCAGGGUGAGUCGACCCCUAAGGCGAGGCCGAAAGGCGUAGUCGAUGGGAAACAGGUUAAUAUUCCUGUACUUGGUGUUACUGCGAAGGGGGGACGGAGAAGGCUAUGUUAGCCGGGCGACGGUUGUCCCGGUUUAAGCAUGUAGGCUGGUUAUCCAGGCAAAUCCGGAUAAUCAAGGCUGAGGUGUGAUGACGAGGCACUACGGUGCUGAAGUAACAAAUGCCCUGCUUCCAGGAAAAGCCUCUAAGCAUCAGGUAACAUCAAAUCGUACCCCAAACCGACACAGGUGGUCAGGUAGAGAAUACCAAGGCGCUUGAGAGAACUCGGGUGAAGGAACUAGGCAAAAUGGUGCCGUAACUUCGGGAGAAGGCACGCUGGUGUGUAGGUGAAGUCCCUGCGGAUGGAGCUGAGACCAGUCGAAGAUACCAGCUGGCUGCAACUGUUUAUUAAAAACACAGCACUGUGCAAACACGAAAGUGGACGUAUACGGUGUGACGCCUGCCCGGUGCCGGAAGGUUAAUUGAUGGGGUUAUCCGUAAGGAGAAGCUCUUGAUCGAAGCCCCGGUAAACGGCGGCCGUAACUAUAACGGUCCUAAGGUAGCGAAAUUCCUUGUCGGGUAAGUUCCGACCUGCACGAAUGGCGUAAUGAUGGCCAGGCUGUCUCCACCCGAGACUCAGUGAAAUUGAACUCGCUGUGAAGAUGCAGUGUACCCGCGGCAAGACGGAAAGACCCCGUGAACCUUUACUAUAGCUUGACACUGAACAUUGAGCCUUGAUGUGUAGGAUAGGUGGGAGGCUUUGAAGCGUGGACGCCAGUCUGCGUGGAGCCAACCUUGAAAUACCACCCUUUAAUGUUUGAUGUUCUAACGUUGGCCCCU